Molecule: unclassified non-coding RNA, 178 nt
Filed under: uncultured fungus
Lineage: Eukaryota; Fungi
Description: sequence contains ITS1, 5.8S rRNA gene
Source: RNAcentral
CCGAGUCCUCCUGCUUCUGCAGGAACUCCCACACUUGAAUCCCCUAAAAUAAGGGUUCUUCGGCGAGACGUUGGAAACGGCCAUUGGCGUCGAACAGUUUCAGUUCGACGACGAUGUGAUCUCGCCGGAGUUUCAUACUCUGCAUAUUGUACUGUCAGUAAAAACAAGCAAUAAAUAA